AUAACCAACUUUUUAGUUUUGCUGUUUAAACUGAUAAAGAUGGCAAAGUAAACGUAAAUGGGAUAAAUUCACGGUCUAAAUCGAGAAACAGCAGAGUCAAACCCAUCAAGAAGUCAGUGUUGCAAACUGAAGCGUUACAGAUAGCCGCUCACGAGUCUGAGAGCACCACUCGCGCG
This is a long non-coding RNA of Megalops cyprinoides (Indo-Pacific tarpon), 176 nucleotides long. RefSeq lists it as uncharacterized. NCBI's taxonomy places the organism in Eukaryota, Metazoa, Chordata, Actinopteri, Elopiformes, Megalopidae. The record is from RefSeq and is a predicted model, not a curated record. The transcript is spliced from 3 exons.